GACGAACGCUGGCGGCGUGCUUAACACAUGCAAGUCGAACGGAAAGGCCCUGCUUUUGUGGGGUGCUCGAGUGGCGAAAGGGUGAGUAACACGGGAGUACCCUGCCCUUGACUUUGGGAUAACUUCGGGAAAUUGGGGCUAAUACAGGAUAGGAGCUUCUGCUGCAUGGUGGGGGUUGGACAGUUUCGGCGGGUUGGGAUGGACUCGCGGCUUAGCAGCUUGUUGGGGGGGUACUGGCUUACGAAGGCUUUGGCGGGUAGCCGGCCUGAGAGGGUGACCGGCCACAGUGGGACUGAGAUACGGCCCAGACUCCUACGGGAGGCAGCAGUGGGGAAUAUUGCACAAUGGGCGGAAGCCUGAUGCAGCAACGCCGCGUGCGGGAUGACGGCCUUCGGGUGGUAAACCGCUUUCGCCUGUGACGAAGCGUGAGUGACGGUAAUGGGUAAAGAAGCACCGGCUAACUACGUG
RNAcentral lists this ribosomal RNA (468 nucleotides) under uncultured bacterium. RNAcentral describes it as "partial 16S ribosomal RNA". It matches the Rfam family "Bacterial small subunit ribosomal RNA", at positions 28 to 507 of the family's 1533-position model. The record is from RNAcentral.